Molecule: long non-coding RNA, 590 nt
Organism: Mauremys reevesii (Reeves's turtle)
Lineage: Eukaryota; Metazoa; Chordata; Testudines; Geoemydidae
Exons: 4
Source: RefSeq, a predicted model, not a curated record
CUGAGUGAUCUGGACUGGAACCCUGUACUGGAAAUGGAAGAGCAUAGUGGCAACCAAACAAACAAUAUGUAGAGUCUAUCACAGUUGGCAGGAAAUAGAUCCCUGACAUCAGAAGAACACAAUGUGUUGGGCCAACCCAAUAAGAUAAAAAGACAUUUGCACUAACUAGCCACUGUGAUGGAUACAGAGCAAGGAUUAAGUAUCUUCAAGAGGCAAAUUGAAGACUCAUUCUUUUAAAGUUGGAGGUCAUCUGCAGUUUGUGGGGAAAACAAGUGAGGCACUGUUUCAGGAGACAGAUGUAUGUCCUUCCACUCUCUUGUUCAUUGUCAGCACAUGAUCCAUAAUUUAGCUCCAGAGAUAUUCCAAGAUACUGACAGGAGGAUUGAACCCAGGGCCCCACAUCCAGAUGAGUGCCCUAAUCACUGGGCUAAAGCUUAGAAAGGAGGCAGUAGCAGAAUCAUCAUCACUUCCUACUUCUCACACCACUUUGUGAAUGGAGCCUAAGUCCUGAAAACAAAUUGUUUGGGGGGCCAAAAUUGUUUGGUUAAUUUGUUUGCAUUUUCUGGUGAAUAAACUAUGCUUCCAAGUUC